Astatotilapia calliptera (eastern happy) is the source of this 309-nucleotide long non-coding RNA. Lineage: Eukaryota; Metazoa; Chordata; Actinopteri; Cichliformes; Cichlidae. The record is from Ensembl.
CUAGGUUAGAUGACAGCUCUAAUUUAGAUGAGUUAUAGUACAGGUGUUCUCUGGAACACACCCAAACUUUUUUAAAACUUCAAAAACAAAUAUUUCUUUGGACUUCUGCAGGGUCUCUUCUCUCUUGUACGGGCUGUCUGCUCCUAUUCAGCGCUUCUCGCUCAUCCUUUGUAACCACGAGGCAGCUGAGCCGCUGAUCCGCUUGUCCAUCCUGGUGAUCUGACGCAUGAUCUUGUGUGCAUCUCCCCGGGCACUUUUUUUCCUUUGCAUAUCAGCUCACUUCACCCACUUACUCACAGCUGAUUGCAC